This 71-nucleotide transfer RNA is filed under the name Candidatus Methanodesulfokora washburnensis. RNAcentral describes it as "tRNA-His". It matches the Rfam family "tRNA". Rfam says of the family: Transfer RNA (tRNA) molecules are approximately 80 nucleotides in length. Their secondary structure includes four short double-helical elements and three loops (D, anti-codon, and T loops). Lineage: Archaea; Thermoproteati; Thermoproteota; Candidatus Korarchaeia. The record is from RNAcentral. RNAcentral also lists the same sequence under 1 other name.
GCCAGGGUGGGGUAGAGGUAGCCCGGGGGCCUGUGGAGCCCUCGGCCCGGGUUCGAAUCCCGGCCCUGGCC